ACUUAGCUAAAACGGUUGGUUCAAAACAUUUUCUUGCAGUCUUGGCAUAACAUCAAAAAGGCAUAAACAUCGCAAAAUCUCAUCGCCCUCCCAUCUCAAUCGCACGGACCGCCGGGCCGACGUUUGCCUGCGGAA
Molecule: regulatory RNA element, 135 nt
Organism: Drosophila sechellia
Lineage: Eukaryota; Metazoa; Arthropoda; Insecta; Diptera; Drosophilidae
Rfam family: R2 RNA element
About the family: This family represents the 3' UTR region of the R2 retrotransposable element. This family is known to interact with the R2-encoded reverse transcriptase in a reaction known as target primed reverse transcription (TPRT).
Source: Rfam